RNAcentral lists this long non-coding RNA (672 nucleotides) under Lepisosteus oculatus (spotted gar). RNAcentral describes it as "lncRNA (ENSLOCG00000023230.1)". The record is from RNAcentral. Lineage: Eukaryota; Metazoa; Chordata; Actinopteri; Semionotiformes; Lepisosteidae.
GAUUCUCCAGUGAAACAAACCAAUAUAGGAGACAACAUUAUGAUUCGCUGCAGAUCUGAUGGAGGAAUUCAUUGCCAUUUCUACCACAAUCACAGUGCGGUCCCUUUCAAAACAACACAAUACAGUGCAAAAUAUAAGUUCUGUCACCUCUCUAUCCCUGUCGAGGAGUUAGUGGGGGACAGAGACUUUGGGAGGAGCACUGAAGUGUCUCUGAGCUGUUCUGUUGAAAUGAUGAUUGAUGGACAGCUAAAACAUUCACAGCACAGUGAUAUUAACAAAGUGGAGGUUGUUGACAAGCUAAGUCAACUGGAAAGACCUCGUAUUGAAGCACACUCCCAGUAUGUCAAUGAAGAAGAUGUUGUCCAAAUGUUCUGCUAUGCGAACACAGGAACACAUUGUCAUUUUUACAAUAAGUAUGACACAGUUCCUCUUGGAUCAGUGCCCUACAGUGAAGAGUUUAAUUCCUGCAGCCUGGCUCUCCCUGUGAAAGAGCUGGUGUCAGAGAGACACAGUGGGAAGAGUCCUCAGAUUCUCCUCAGGUGUUCGGUGGAAGUGAAGCUGGGAGAAACAAUGGUGACCUCAAGACGCAGCCAGAGCAUCAGAGUAAAUCUGGAAGAUGAUGGUUAGUAAUAGUUUUGAAAGUAUAGGAUUGUUUCUUAUUUUUAUAGCGAA